This 493-nucleotide ribosomal RNA is filed under the name uncultured bacterium. RNAcentral describes it as "partial 16S ribosomal RNA". It matches the Rfam family "Bacterial small subunit ribosomal RNA", at positions 30 to 523 of the family's 1533-position model. The record is from RNAcentral.
AUUGAACGCUGGCGGCAUGCCUUACACAUGCAAGUCGAACGGUAACAGGUUAAGCUGACGAGUGGCGAACGGGUGAGUAAUAUAUCGGAACGUGCCCAGUCGUGGGGGAUAACGUAGCGAAAGCUACGCUAAUACCGCAUACGAUCUACGGAUGAAAGCGGGGGAUCGCAAGACCUCGCGCGAUGGGAGCGGCCGAGAUCAGAUUAGGUUGUUGGUGAGGUAAAAGCUCACCAAGCCUGCGAUCUGUAGCUGGUCUGAGAGGACGACCAGCCACACUGGAACUGAGACACGGUCCAGACUCCUACGGGAGGCAGCAGUGGGGAAUUUUGGACAAUGGACGCAAGUCUGAUCCAGCAAUGCCGCGUGCAGGACGAAGGCCUUCGGGUUGUAAACUGCUUUUGUACGGAACGAAACGGUGAGCUUUAAUACAGUUUGCUAAUGACGGUACCGUAAGAAUAAGCACCGGCUAACUACGUGCCAGCCGCCGCAGUAA